UGACGACGCGCGUGCCGCGUCCGCACCCUUUCCUGGCGGCAGAGCCCAGGGUCGCUGUUCGACGGAGGAAUCUUCAUCCGUGUCGUUGGGCACAUGCUGCCGCCAUGCAUCCAGAAGGGCAAGAAAAACGGAGGGGGAUCUGAGCGGAGCGGAGGUCCGAUGCAGAACCACAGUUCCGUGCUGAAAAGGACAAGACGAAUCGAAUGAGAGGAUGAGAGGUAAUAUCGUGGCUGAUAUUUUCUUUAAGAAUGUUGUGGCUGAUUAUUAUUAUAUUUUGAUAGGGGCGGCAGUUUUUUUCAACGUGAGAUGGAAGAUAUAUAGUAUGGUUGUCUGAAAAGUUAUGGGUACGUACGGUUUAUAAGACAAGUGAACAGAGUUAAUAAUGACGUGAAGGUGAUUUUCUAUUGCACAACUGAUACUCUAUGUCUGUUGUCUAUUCAUGUGUGCUCUUUUUUUUUUACAAAAUUAAACUAUAACUGUGGUUUUUUUCAGACGAAGACGGGACCUAAGAAACUACAUUUGUGUUUUUACGGGUUACACAUGAGUAGUUAUAGAUGCUUUCAUAUUUUGUCAUAUUACCAGAUACAUGUAUUUUCUGUAUCAAGGUAUGCAUUUGAUUGAUAGGUGUUUUAAAUGUAGCGUUUUGUUAGGCUUUACUCAAGAUGGAUUGUUACUUUCCUUUAAAAUAUUUCGAGCUGUAAUCAUGAAAAAUG
This 713-nucleotide long non-coding RNA is filed under the name Sorghum bicolor (sorghum). Its description in RNAcentral is "long non-coding RNA (SBIC_LNC016979)". The record is from RNAcentral. Lineage: Eukaryota; Viridiplantae; Streptophyta; Magnoliopsida; Poales; Poaceae.